RNAcentral lists this long non-coding RNA (661 nucleotides) under Suricata suricatta (meerkat). RNAcentral's name for it is "lncRNA (ENSSSUG00005003141.1)". The record is from RNAcentral. Lineage: Eukaryota; Metazoa; Chordata; Mammalia; Carnivora; Herpestidae.
ACUUGUGACUGCAAAAUUAUUUCUCACUCUCAGGGGCAAGUGAUGUUUCUUUAUGACCAAAGUGAUAACAACUUUAAGAGAGGAAAUCGAUAAAAAUGGACUUCCGGCGACUCUCAGUGCUGAGAAACACAGAAGUCGUUCAGACUUGGACCCAGGCCUCAGGAAACACACUCCCCCUGCCUGCUGCAUCCAGACCCUGAGUGACUCUCACGGAGGCCAAAUCGUGCCGGCUCCCCUCUCCCAGGACUUUUGGGAUCCAACCCUUUGCGACCUUUAUCCUGACUAAGCUUCUAUACCUAGAGACACCUGCUUCAUACAAGUUCAAACGAGAGAGAAAGUGAAGGUUCCAGACUUUGAAAAGAUCAAGCAGGGUGAGAUGCCCCCAUGAGCUGAAUGAAUUCUCAUUCUGCCAGACCACUGGCUACCAUCUGCCCACUUCGGCCUCAUAACUACGCCCAAGAGAGCCUGUUGUCCAGGAGACAGGGAGGACGAGAGCAGGUAUCACUGAAAAUCAACAUUGUGAACAAUGACUAAAAAAUAGAAGUAUUGAUAUGUUUUUUGGCAGGGGUGGGGAUGCUGGGGGAUCUUUUUACUCUUUUCCUCUGCCAUUUCAUAUGCAGAUGCAGGAACUUCCGGGCAAACUUAGUUUAUUAUGUUCUCU